Long non-coding RNA from Loxodonta africana (African savanna elephant), 2319 nucleotides. RefSeq lists it as uncharacterized. NCBI's taxonomy places the organism in Eukaryota, Metazoa, Chordata, Mammalia, Proboscidea, Elephantidae. The transcript has 3 exons. The record is from RefSeq and is a predicted model, not a curated record.
GGCAGGGCCCUGUGUAAGGAGUGAGGAGGUGGGAGAAUCCAGGCAGACACCUGUGUAGGGAGUGAGGAGCUGGAAGAGACCAGGCAGGGACCUGUGUAGGUCCUGAGGAGGUGGGAGAGGCCAGGCAGCGUCCUGUGUAGGGAGUGAGAAGGUGGGAGAGACCAGGCAGGGCCCUAUGUUGGGAGUGAGGAUGCGGGAGAGAAGAGGCAGAGAUGUGGGAGAGACCAGGCAAAGACCUGUGAAGGGACUGAGGAGGUGGGAGAGACCUGGCAGGGCCCAGUGUAGGGAGUGAGUAUCUUGGAGAGAAGAGGCAGAGACCUGUGUAGGGAUUGAGAAGAAGGAGAGACCAGGCCGGGCCCUGUGUAGGGAGUGAGGAGGUGGGAGAGGCCAGGCAGAGCCCUGUGUAGGGAGUGAGGUGUUAGGAGAGACCAGGCAGGGCCCUGUGUAGGGAGUGAUGAGGUGAGAGAGACCAGGUAGGACCCUGUGUACAGAGUGAGGAUGUGGAAGAGAACAGGCAAGGCUGUGUGUAGGAAGUAAGGUGGUGGAGAUACCAGUCAGGGACCUGUGUAGGGAUUGAGGAAGUGGGAGAGACCAGGCAGGACCCUGUGUAGGGAGUGAGGAGGUGAUAGAGAACAGGUAAGGCCCUGCAUACACAGUGAGGAGUUGGGAGAGACCACCCAGAUACCUGAGUAGGGAGUCAGGAUGUGGGAGAGAUCAGGCAGAGCCCUGUGUAGGAAGUGAGGUGUUAGGAGAGACCAGGCAGGGCCCUGUGUAGGGAGUGAGGAGGUGGGAGAGACCAGGUAGGACCCUGUGUACAGAGUGAGGAUGUGGAAGAGAACAGGCAAGGCUGUGUGUAGGAAGUAAGGUGGUGGAGAUACCAGUCAGGGACCUGUGUAGGGAUUGAGGAAGUGGGAGAGACCAGGCAGGACCCUGUGUAGGGAGUGAGGAGGUGAUAGAGAACAGGUAAGGCCCUGCAUACACAGUGAGGAGUUGGGAGAGACCACCCAGAUACCUGAGUAGGGAGUCAGGAUGUGGGAGAGAUCAGGCAGAGCCCUGUGUAGGAAGUGAGGUGUUAGGAGAGACCAGGCAGGGCCCUGUGUAGGGAGUGAGGAGGUGGGAGAGACCAGGUAGGACCCUGUGUACAGAGUGAGGAUGUGGAAGAGACCAGGCAGGUCUGUGUGUAGGGAGUAAGGAAGUGGAGAUGCCAGGCAGGGCCCUGUGUAGGGAGUGAGGAUGUAGGAGAGAUCAUCAGGGCCCUGUGCAGGAAGUGAGCAGAUGGGAUACACCAGGCAGGGCCCUGUAUAGGGAGUGAGGAGAUGGGAGAGAACAAGCACAGCCCUGUGUAGGAAGUGAGAAGAAGGGAGAUAACAGCCAGAAACACAGUGCAGGGACUGAGGAGGUGGGAGAGGUAAGGCAGAGCCCUGCGUAGGGAGUGAGGAGGUGGGAUUGACUAGGCAGGACCCUGGGUAGGGUGUGAGGAGGUGGGAGAUUCCAGGCAGGGCCCUUUGUAGGGAGUGAGGUGUUGGGAGAGACCAGGCAGAGUCCUGUGUAGGGAGUGAGGAUUUGGGAGAGACCAGGCAGGGCCCUGUGUAUGGCCUGAGGAGGUUAGAAAUACCAGGCAGGGCCCUGAGUAGGGAGUGAGGAAGUGGGAGAGAAGAGGCAGGGCCCUGUCUAGGGAUUGAAGAGGUGGGAGAGAACAGGCAGAGACCCUUGUAGGGAAUGGGGAGGUGGGAGAACCAUGCAGAGACCUGUGUAGGGAUGGAGAAGGUGCGAGGGACCAGUUAGGGCCCUGUGUGUGCAGUCAGGAUGUGAGAGAGAGGAGGCAGGGCCCUGUGUGAAUUGAGGAUGUGGGAGAGGCCAGUCAGGGCCCUGUUUAGGGAGUGAGGAGGUGGGAGAGAUCAUCAGGGCCCUGUAAAGGGAGUGAGGAGGUGAGAGAGGCCAGUCAGGGACCUGUGUAGGGAGUGAGGAGGUGGGAGAGACCAGGCAGAGACCUGCAUAGGGAGUGAGGAGGUGAGAGAGACCAGGUAGGAUGCUGUAUAAAGAGUGAGGAUGUAGGAGAGACUAGCCAGAGCCCUGUGCAGGGAGUAAGGAGGUGGAGAGACCAGGCAGGGUCCUGUUUAGGGAGUGAGGAGGUGGGAGAGAUCAUCAGGGCCCUGUAAAGGGAGUGAGGAGGUGGGAGAGACCACCCAGAUACCUGUGUAGGGACUGAGGAGGUGGGAGAGAAAAGACAGAGCCCUGUGUAGGGAGUGAGGAGGUGGGAGAUACCAGGCAGGGCCCUGUGUAGGGAGUGAGGAGGUGGCAGGGAGCAGUCAGAGACCU